This 440-nucleotide ribosomal RNA is filed under the name uncultured bacterium. Its description in RNAcentral is "partial 16S ribosomal RNA". It matches the Rfam family "Bacterial small subunit ribosomal RNA", at positions 338 to 795 of the family's 1533-position model. The record is from RNAcentral.
ACUACGGGAGGCUGCAGUGGGGAAUAUUGCACAAUGGGGGAAACCCUGAUGCAGCGACGCCGCGUGAGUGAAGAAGUAUUUCGGUAUGUAAAGCUCUAUCAGCAGGGAAGAAAAUGACGGUACCUGAUUAAGAAGCCCCGGCUAACUACGUGCCAGCAGCCGCGGUAAUACGUAGGGGGCAAGCGUUAUCCGGAUUUACUGGGUGUAAAGGGAGCGUAGACGGCAGCGCAGGUCUGAAGUGAAAUGCCGGGGCUUAACCCCGGAACUGCUUUGGAUACUGUGUAGCUAGAGUGCAGGAGAGGUAAGGGGAAUGCGUGGUGUAGCGGUGAAAUGCGUAGAUAUUAGGAGGAACACCAGUGGCGAAGGCGGCUUACUGGACUGUAACUGACGUUGAGGCUCGAAAGCGUGGGUAGCAAACAGGAUUAGAUACCCGGGUAGUC